CGAUUUUCGCAAUGCCCGAAAGGGUGACGAAGCGACGCCGCGUGUGGGAAGAAGGCCUUCGGGUUGUAAACCACUGUCGGGAGUUAGGAAAUGCAGGUGCGUUAAUAGCGCACUUGCUUGACUAAGGCUCCAGAGGAAGCCACGGCUAACUCUGUGCCAGCAGCCGCGGUAAUACAGAGGCGGCAAGCGUUGUUCGGAAUUAUUGGGCGUAAAGAGCACGUAGGCGGCCUUGCAAGUCAGUUGUGAAAGCCUUCCGCUUAACGGAAGAACGGCAUCUGAUACUACAGGGCUUGAGUACGGGAGGGGAGAGUGGAACUUCUGGUGGAGCGGUGAAAUGCGUAGAUAUCAGAAGGAACGCCGGCGGCGAAAGCGACUCUCUGGUCCGAAACUGACGCUGAGUGUGCGAAAGCUAGGGGAGCAAACGGGAUUAGAUACCCCGGUAGUCCUAGCCGUAAACGAUGGGCACUAAGUAGAGGGGUUUU
This 482-nucleotide ribosomal RNA is filed under the name uncultured anaerobic ammonium-oxidizing bacterium. RNAcentral describes it as "bacterial SSU rRNA". It matches the Rfam family "Bacterial small subunit ribosomal RNA", at positions 359 to 832 of the family's 1533-position model. The record is from RNAcentral.